GUCGAGCGGUCCUUCGGGACAGCGGCGAACGGGUUAGUAACGCGUGGGAACGUGCCCUUUAGUACGGAAUAGCCAUUGGAAACGAUGAUUAAUACCGUAUACGCCCCAAGGGGGAAAGAUUUAUCGCUAAAGGAUCGGCCCGCGUUAGAUUAGGUAGUUGGUAGGGUAAUGGCCUACCAAGCCGACGAUCUAUAGCUGGUUUGAGAGGAUGAUCAGCAACACUGGGACUGAGACACGGCCCAGACUUCUACGGAAGGCAGCAGUAGGGAAUCUUGGACAAUGGGCGAAAGCCUGAUCCAGCCAUGCCGCGUGAGUGAUGAAGGCCCUAGGGUUGUAAAGCUCUUUCGCCAGGGAAGAUAAUGACGGUACCUGGUAAAGAAACCCCGGCUAACUCCGUGCCAGCAGCCGCGGUAAUACGGAGGGGGUUAGCGUUGUUCGGAAUUACUGGGCGUAAAGCGCACGUAGGCAGAUUAAUAAGUCAGGGGUGAAAUCCCGAGGCUCAACCUCGGAACUGCCUUUGAUACUGUUAAUCUUGAGUUCGAGAGAGGUGAGUGGAAUUCCGAGUGUAGAGGUGAAAUUCGUAGAUAUUCGGAGGAACACCAGUGGCGAAGGCGGCUCACUGGCUCGAUACUGACGCUGAGGUGCGAAAGCGUGGGGAGCAAACAGGAUU
This 670-nucleotide ribosomal RNA is filed under the name uncultured Alphaproteobacteria bacterium. RNAcentral describes it as "bacterial SSU rRNA". It matches the Rfam family "Bacterial small subunit ribosomal RNA", at positions 61 to 779 of the family's 1533-position model. Lineage: Bacteria; Pseudomonadati; Pseudomonadota; Alphaproteobacteria. The record is from RNAcentral.